CCCCAGACUCCUACGGGAGGCAGCAGUGGGGAAUAUUGCACAAUGGGGGAAACCCUGAUGCAGCGACGCCGCGUGAGUGAAGAAGUAUUUCGGUAUGUAAAGCUCUAUCAGCAGGGAAGAAAAUGACGGUACCUGACUAAGAAGCCCCGGCUAACUACGUGCCAGCAGCCGCGGUAAUACGUAGGGGGCAAGCGUUAUCCGGAUUUACUGGGUGUAAAGGGAGCGUAGACGGCAUGGCAAGUCAGAUGUGAAAGCCCGGGGCUCAACCCCGGGACUGCAUUUGAAACUGUCAGGCUGGAGUGCAGGAGAGGUAAGUGGAAUUCCUAGUGUAGCGGUGAAAUGCGUAGAUAUUAGGAGGAACACCAGUGGCGAAGGCGGCUUACUGGACUGUAACUGACGUUGAGGCUCGAAAGCGUGGGGAGCAAACAGGAUUAGAUACUCUGGUACC
This 448-nucleotide ribosomal RNA is filed under the name uncultured bacterium. RNAcentral describes it as "partial 16S ribosomal RNA". It matches the Rfam family "Bacterial small subunit ribosomal RNA", at positions 329 to 794 of the family's 1533-position model. The record is from RNAcentral.